UACGGAGGGUGCAAACGUUGCUCGGAAUCAUUGGGCGUAAAGCGCACGUAGGUGGCCUGUUAAGUCGGGUGUGAAAUCCCUGGGCUCAACCCAGGAAGUGCACUCGAAACUGGCAGGCUUGAGUACUGAAGAGGGUCGCGGAAUUCCCAGUGUAGAGGUGAAAUUCGUAGAUAUUGGGAAGAACACCGGUGGCGAAGGCGGCGACCUGGUCCAUUACUGACGCUGAGGCGCGACAGCGUGGGGAGCAAACAGG
Molecule: ribosomal RNA, 253 nt
Filed under: uncultured bacterium
Lineage: Bacteria
Description: partial 16S ribosomal RNA
Rfam family: Bacterial small subunit ribosomal RNA
Source: RNAcentral